GGGCGCGUAGCUCAGCUGGGAGAGCAUCUGCCUUACAAGCAGGAGGUCACAGGUUCAAGUCCUGUCGCGCCCACCA
RNAcentral lists this transfer RNA (76 nucleotides) under Thermohalobacter berrensis. Its description in RNAcentral is "tRNA-Val". It matches the Rfam family "tRNA". Rfam says of the family: Transfer RNA (tRNA) molecules are approximately 80 nucleotides in length. Their secondary structure includes four short double-helical elements and three loops (D, anti-codon, and T loops). The record is from RNAcentral. Lineage: Bacteria; Bacillati; Bacillota; Tissierellia; Tissierellales; Thermohalobacteraceae.